RNAcentral lists this transfer RNA (74 nucleotides) under Buchnera aphidicola. RNAcentral describes it as "tRNA-Arg(tct)". It matches the Rfam family "tRNA". Rfam says of the family: Transfer RNA (tRNA) molecules are approximately 80 nucleotides in length. Their secondary structure includes four short double-helical elements and three loops (D, anti-codon, and T loops). Lineage: Bacteria; Pseudomonadati; Pseudomonadota; Gammaproteobacteria; Enterobacterales; Erwiniaceae. RNAcentral also lists the same sequence under 9 other names. The record is from RNAcentral.
GCGUUCUUAGCUCAGCUGGAUAGAGCAACGGCCUUCUAAGCCGUAGGUCACAGGUUCGAAUCCUGUAGAACGCA